AUUGAACGCUGGCGGCAGGCCUAACACAUGCAAGUCGAGCGGAUGAAGGGAGCUUGCUCCUGGAUUCAGCGGCGGACGGGUGAGUAAUGCCUAGGAAUCUGCCUGGUAGUGGGGGAUAACGUCCGGAAACGGGCGCUAAUACCGCAUACGUCCUGAGGGAGAAAGUGGGGGAUCUUCGGACCUCACGCUAUCAGAUGAGCCUAGGUCGGAUUAGCUAGUUGGUGAGGUAAAGGCCUACCAAGGCGACGAUCCGUAACUGGUCUGAGAGGAUGAUCAGUCACACUGGAACUGAGACACGGUCCAGACUCCUACGGGAGGCAGCAGUGGGGAAUAUUGGACAAUGGGCGAAAGCCUGAUCCAGCCAUGCCGCGUGUGUGAAGAAGGUCUUCGGAUUGUAAAGCACUUUAAGUUGGGAGGAAGGGCAGUAAGUUAAUACCUUGCUGUUUUGACGUUACCAACAGAAUAAGCAACGGCUAACUUCGUG
Molecule: ribosomal RNA, 484 nt
Filed under: uncultured bacterium
Lineage: Bacteria
Description: partial 16S ribosomal RNA
Rfam family: Bacterial small subunit ribosomal RNA
Source: RNAcentral